UUGAAUUUUGUAAAAUCAAAGGUUUUCUACCCCUCGUGGUAGCGUUUUUUUAAAGAAUAAAGGUUUCCGUGUAGGGAACAGUUUUCAAAAGAAUUUUCGUGGGUUUCUGUUUAAACACUGAAUGUAAAACUGUGAUGUGAAUGGUGAACGUAUGAAUGUAUAGUUAUCUUUAUAUUCAUCUAGUUGUGAUUGUAUCCUGGUUGUACUUUUGUACUUGUGCGACGCCGUGCAAAUACAGGGGAGAUUCUGUCCGUGUGAAUUAACAGUGGAUUCCCUGUAUUUGUGGCGGAUCUGGCAUACCCUGGGGUCAGGUUUGCAAAAAAAAAAAAAAUUCCGCUGUGUUUUUAAACAGAAAUGGACCCCGGGGCGUGACAGAUUAAAGUGGUAUCAGAGCGAGGUUACAACCACAACACCGUUCACAGGUUGUUUUGAAAAGUAAAUGAAGCUGAACCAUUGGUUAGGUUGACCCUUAGGAAGACUUACGGUGUAUAGGCACGUGAGUGCGGGGUUUGGACUUGUGUCCCGGUGUGCAUUCGAGUUUGUUAAACUCGAAGUGCAUGGUUUCUGUAUGUGUUACGGUUCGCACAAGCUAGUGUCUAAGUCGGGGGUAGUGGCGGUGUACUUUCAGACAUCGAGUGGUAGGGUGAAGUUACCCAGGUGUAGCCAUUCCUGUCAGGUGGGGCCUUGAAAGGCCAAUGAUCUGGGCCUAGGCGAGUGUCAUGACUGCCGACGCCCAGGCCACUCUCUCUACUUAGGACACGAGAGCUACUGCGAAUGUCUCUACGGAGAUGGUGCUUAGACCAGUUACGGUCGCGACUUCAGUGGUGCUACUAGGGUGUAGCCCAGGGUUUGGAUUGCGGUCGUUUCAGCGACUGCAUUGUUAGUAUUGCUUCCGCAGAUCUUUGGGUAGGGUUGUGAUGCCUACCUAUCCUCCUUGAUUGCUGAUUGGAAUCAGCGGUUCGGAUCUUACGACCUUUUCCUCGUUCAUUCUUCCUACCAGAGUCGGAUUGACACAGUUUUGGUGUCAGGUCCCUGUUAAUACAUACAUCGUAUGCGAUUGUUCUAACACCUAAAUUGGUGUGUUGUGGGUUAGUUGUAGUUGGUGAUAGG
Molecule: long non-coding RNA, 1110 nt
Filed under: Ananas comosus (pineapple)
Lineage: Eukaryota; Viridiplantae; Streptophyta; Magnoliopsida; Poales; Bromeliaceae
Description: long non-coding RNA (ACOM_LNC019887)
Source: RNAcentral